UUGAUCCUGGCUCAGAAUGAACGCUGGCGGCGCGUAUUAAGCAUGCAAGUCGAACGGUAACCAUCCUUCGGGAUGGCUAGAGUGGCGAACGGGUGAUUAACACUGUAGGUAAUCUGCCUUAUUAGUGGCGUGUGUUACCCAGGUGGACAUCGUGGUGGUAAUACCGAAUACGCUCGCGACCCUGUGGGUGAUGUGAGGAAAAGCUGCUUCGGCUCUGCUCGAGGAUGAGCCUGCGGCUGAUUAGUUAGUUGGUGGGGUAACGGCCUACCAAGGCGACGAUCAGUAGCCGGCCUGAGAGGGUGAGCGGCCACACUGGGACUGAGAUACGGCCCAGACUCCUACGGGAGGCAGCAGCUAAGAAUCUUCUACAAUGGACGAAAGUCUGAUAGAGCGACGCCGCGUGUGUGAUGAAGGCCGGAAGGUUGUAAAGCCCUUUUCUAUUCGCGGAAUAAGGUGUGGAGGCAAUGCCACACUGAUGACGGUAGGGUAGGACUAAGCCCCGGGCAAUUACGUGCCAGCAGCCGCGGUAACACGUAUGUGGCGAGCGUUGUUCGGAAUCAUUGGGCGUACAGGGCGCGUAUGCGGAUAUGCAAGCUUGGUGUGAAAGACCGCAGCUCAACUGCGGGAGCGCGCUGAGAACUGCGUAUCUUGAGUUCACGAGGGGAAGCUGGAAUUCCAGGUGUAGGGGUGAAAUCUGUAGAUAUCUGGAAGAACAUCAGUGGCGAAGGCGAGCUUCUGGCUUUGAACUGACGCUGAGGCGCGAAAGCGUGGGGAGCGAACAGGAUUAGAUACCCUGGUAGUCCACGCUGU
This 810-nucleotide ribosomal RNA is filed under the name uncultured organism. RNAcentral describes it as "bacterial SSU rRNA". It matches the Rfam family "Bacterial small subunit ribosomal RNA", at positions 13 to 803 of the family's 1533-position model. The record is from RNAcentral.